UACAGAGGUCUCAAGCGUUGUUCGGAUUCAUUGGGCGUAAAGGGCAGGUAGGUGGUCUGAUUUGUCAGGGGUGAAAGCCUUGGGCUUAACCUAAGAAGUGCCCCUGAAACGGUCAGACUAGAGUGCUGGAGAGGGUCGUGGAAUUCCCGGUGUAGCGGUGAAAUGCGUAGAGAUCGGGAGGAACACCAGAGGCGAAGGCGGCGACCUGGACCGACACUGACGCUGAGGAGCGAAAGCCAGGGGAGCAAACGGG
This 253-nucleotide ribosomal RNA is filed under the name uncultured bacterium. Its description in RNAcentral is "partial 16S ribosomal RNA". It matches the Rfam family "Bacterial small subunit ribosomal RNA", at positions 524 to 776 of the family's 1533-position model. The record is from RNAcentral.